GGUCCAGUGGUGUAAUGGUAACACAUCUGCAUGAAGUUACUGUCAUGAAUCCAGACUUCAGCAGAAGAUUCCUGUUCAACUCAGGGCUGUGUCA
Molecule: non-coding RNA, 94 nt
Organism: Mycena rebaudengoi
Lineage: Eukaryota; Fungi; Basidiomycota; Agaricomycetes; Agaricales; Mycenaceae
Source: the annotation of a GenBank genome assembly